CUAAGUUUGAUGGCGACCGGCGCACGGGUGAGUAACACGUAUCCAACCUGCCGAUGACUCGGGGAUAGCCUUUCGAAAGAAAGAUUAAUAUCCGAUGGCAUAGUUCUUCCGCAUGGUAGAACUAUUAAAGAAUUUCGGUCAUCGAUGGGGAUGCGUUCCAUUAGGUUGUUGGCGGGGUAACGGCCCACCAAGCCUUCGAUGGAUAGGGGUUCUGAGAGGAAGGUCCCCCACAUUGGAACUGAGACACGGUCCAAACUCCUACGGGAGGCAGCAUG
This 275-nucleotide ribosomal RNA is filed under the name uncultured bacterium. Its description in RNAcentral is "partial 16S ribosomal RNA". It matches the Rfam family "Bacterial small subunit ribosomal RNA", at positions 79 to 353 of the family's 1533-position model. The record is from RNAcentral.